UGCCUAGGGAUCUGCCCAGUCGAGGGGGAUAACAGUUGGAAACGACUGCUAAUACCGCAUACGCCCUACGGGGAAGGAGGGACCGUUCGGGCCUUCGCGAUUGGAUGAACCUAGGUGGGAUUAGCUAGUUGGUAAGGUAAUGGCUUACCAAGGCGACGAUCCCUAGCUGUUCUGAGAGGAUGAUCAGCCACACUGGGACUGAGACACGGCCCAGACUCCUACGGGAGGCAGCAGUGGGGAAUAUUGCACAAUGGGGGAAACCCUGAUGCAGCCAUGCCGCGUGUGUGAAGAAGGCCUUAG
This 300-nucleotide ribosomal RNA is filed under the name uncultured Shewanella sp. RNAcentral describes it as "bacterial SSU rRNA". It matches the Rfam family "Bacterial small subunit ribosomal RNA", at positions 114 to 420 of the family's 1533-position model. Lineage: Bacteria; Pseudomonadati; Pseudomonadota; Gammaproteobacteria; Alteromonadales; Shewanellaceae. The record is from RNAcentral.